AGCAGCCGCGGUAAUUCCAGCUCCAAUAGCGUAUAUUAAAGUUGUUGCAGUUAAAAAGCUCGUAGUUGAAUUUCGGGAUCAAAUUGUUGGUCGUGCCUCGGUACGCACUGGUAUUAUUGGUUCCUACCUUCUGAAGAACCGCGAUGUCAUUAAUUUGGUGUCGUGGGGAAUCAGGACUGUUACUUUGAAAAAAUUAGAGUAGUUUAAAGCAGGCUUACGCUUGAAUACAUUAGCAUGGAAUAAUGAAAUAGGACGUUUGAUUCUAUUUUGUUGGUUUCUAGGAUUGACGUAAUGAUUAAUAGGGAUAGUUGGGGGCAUUAGUAUUCAAUUGUCAGAGGUGAAAUUCUUGGAUUUAUUGAAGACUAACUACUGCGAAAGCAUUUGCCAAGGAUGUUUUCAUUAAUCAAGAACGAAAGUUAGGGGAUCGAAGACGAUCAGAUACCG
This 444-nucleotide ribosomal RNA is filed under the name uncultured Glomus. RNAcentral describes it as "SSU rRNA". It matches the Rfam family "Eukaryotic small subunit ribosomal RNA", at positions 569 to 1017 of the family's 1831-position model. Lineage: Eukaryota; Fungi; Glomeromycota; Glomeromycetes; Glomerales; Glomeraceae. The record is from RNAcentral.